CUUCAAGUACUUGGGAAGUUUAUAAUCCCUCUUGGGAAGUUAACAUCACUGGCCGUAUAUAGGGAAACCUAUUUAAAGUUUGAGAUGGUUAUGGUGCUGGAGCUGACUGAACUCCAAGGUUCUUCUCUCUGAAGUAAGGAUUGUGAGCCCUAUUACUCCUGACAGUCUCGGAGAGCAACAAAGAGGACAUACCAGCUGUGUCCUGUUUUCUGUUCAUGGCAGUGCAUUUGGCCAGAAGCCCACGGAUGCUGGAGCCAUUGAACUCUACCAGCAACCAGACUCACACAAAAAAGCGAUCCAUCUUUUGGAAAUCUAUUUUUAACAUGGAGGGAAAACUGAAGGCCACCGGCGGCUAAACUUCACGUAUAAGAUGGGGAGGCAGUAAGGCAUUUGUGGGAGGCUGUUGCCUACAACUGAAGUAGAUUGGCCUGUUUCCACGACACCCAUGCAAAACUUACUGAAAUUAAUAUGAGUCAUUGAAUGGAUUUCAGAGCAUUUUUAAGUGAGAUCUAAAGGCGCAGCAAUGGAACUGAGUGCAAUGGACUGAAAAACUGAGGCGGUAGUGAGCAAUUGCCACUGUGUAACAUUUACAACCGUUACGUUGAACAAUGGGAUCAAAAUACACACACACCAAGCAGUC
Long non-coding RNA from Strigops habroptila (Kakapo), 640 nucleotides. RefSeq lists it as uncharacterized. NCBI's taxonomy places the organism in Eukaryota, Metazoa, Chordata, Aves, Psittaciformes, Psittacidae. The record is from RefSeq and is a predicted model, not a curated record. The transcript has 3 exons.